This is a long non-coding RNA of Manis pentadactyla (Chinese pangolin), 4257 nucleotides long. RefSeq lists it as uncharacterized. The record is from RefSeq and is a predicted model, not a curated record. The transcript is spliced from 4 exons. NCBI's taxonomy places the organism in Eukaryota, Metazoa, Chordata, Mammalia, Pholidota, Manidae.
UCAGCCUCGUGCGUGCGCACGCGCGCUGCCCCCGGAGGCGUCUGGGUGUGCGGAGCGCGCGCGCGCGGCUCGGAGGCGCACCUGUGAGGUGUCCCUUGAGGAGAGGGAGGGUGGGUGCGCGGAGCCCGCGGCCUGGGGCACCUCAAUCCCUCACUUGGAAGCGCCCUGCAUCCCAGCACAUCCGGACGAGCAUCCUACUCAGGUGAUGAGGAACCCGUCGCGCACCCAGCGCAGACCGCUGCUGCCGCUGGACGCCUCCAUUGUUUGACCAUAACAAGGGCCGGAUUCUCACCCAGACCUGCAAAGUCAAGAGACACGUCUCUCUCGAAGAUAAGAAAGCUCCUUCCUCAAGAUCAGAAAAGGAGCCUGGAGUGAUACCUAUGUAGGAAAUCCUCAAAAGGAAGGUUGGCGUACCUGGACAUCAAGGAGCUUGCUUCUGGGAAGGCUCCUGUCUGAUGUGUAGGAGGCAGAAUGUCAUACUGACUCUUCAGAAGGAGGCCACAGGGGAUCAAGAGCAACACACAGUAUCUCCUCUUCUACUACAGGGGACACUGUGCAGUCCUUUUCCUAAAAGUGAGAAGUACGAGAUUGUUCUGCAAGAGGAAGAUUCCAGGGGCUUAGAAGUGCAAAAGUUUACCCCUUGGGAACUCCUUGGAAUGUUGACAACUCAGGAUCUAAAAGAAAGUUCUGUGUUAAUGAGUUACAGAAUUCACAUGGAAGUAAAUGUCACUUUAUAAUCAGUAAUAAUCCUGAGUGAGGAGCACUAUGCAGGAAGAAAUCUUCCAUAGAAAGUCAGGCAGGGAAAAGCUUAGGCUAACCGUAAAACUACCAAAUCGAGUGAGCCUGAGAUAAGUGGCCACAAAAUGGCCAAAUAAGAGACUUUAUGAAAUAGCAAUCCUGGAGCUAUAGUAAUUGUAAGGAAAUUUUCUCCUCUAAAUUACGAUACCAAAUAGGAAAAAUGAUCUACAAGUGCCCCAUGUGUAGGGAAUUUUUCUCUGAAAGAGCAGAUCUUUUUAUGCAUCAGAAAAUACACACUGCUGAGAAGCCCCAUAAAUGUGACAAGUGUGAUAAGGGUUUCUUUCAUAUAUCAGAACUUCACAUUCAUUGGAGAGACCACACAGGAGAGAAGGUCUAUAAAUGUGAUGAUUGUGGUAAGGAUUUUAGUACUACAACAAAACUUAAUAGACAUAAGAAAAUCCACACAGUGGAGAAGCCCUAUAAAUGUUAUGAGUGUGGCAAAGCCUUCAAUUGGAGCUCACAUCUUCAGAUUCACAUGAGAGUUCAUACAGGUGAGAAACCCUAUGUCUGUAGUGAGUGUGGAAGGGGCUUUAGUAAUAGCUCAAACCUUUGCAUGCAUCAGAGAGUCCACACCGGAGAGAAACCCUUUAAAUGUGAAGAGUGUGGGAAGGCCUUCAGGCAUACUUCCAGCCUCUGCAUGCAUCAAAGAGUCCACACAGGAGAGAAACCCUAUAAAUGUUAUGAGUGUGGGAAGGCCUUCAGCCAGAGCUCCAGCCUCUGCAUCCAUCAGAGAGUGCACACCGGGGAGAAGCCCUAUAGAUGCUGUGGGUGUGGGAAGGCCUUCAGCCAGAGCUCAAGCCUCUGCAUCCACCAGAGAGUGCACACCGGGGAGAAACCUUUUAAAUGCGAUGAGUGUGGGAAGGCCUUCAGCCAGAGCACCAGCCUCUGCAUCCACCAGAGGGUGCACACAAAGGAGAGAAACCAUCUCAAAAUAUCAGUUAUAUAAAAUGUUUGCUAAGAGUUAAAAAUCUUAAAACCCAUAAGUGCCACUAGGAAGGAAACCCUGUAAAUACCUACAUUGACCCAAGAAAUUUUUACCACAAGCCCCAGCAAAACAUUCUUUCAAAGAGGCAUACGUAAGGUUGAUUUUUUUGAUUCAGGCCAAGUGUGUUCCACAACUUGACUUUGAAUCUGAAAUUCCUCUAAGUGCCCAAGAUGGGCGGUGAGGUCCCAGUGCUGAAUGUGUGUGUCCUGGGAUUCCAGCAUGAUGCCUCAGUAGUUGAAAUACUACACAGGAAACCAUGAUUGUCACCCAGCCUCCCGAGUCACCUUCUGUCUAUGCUUUACCUAAAAGUUACCCCAGGGACUUCCCCUCUGGAAGCUCAUGCCUUUCUUUGAUUCAAGCAUACUGGUUAAUGCAUUUGAAAAUGGAUAGCUCCCACUAAGAUAGUGUUCUGGUAUUUCUGAGGUUACCACUUGGUUGUGCCCCUGCAUAUCUUUCCAUAUGUCCCAUUAUUUCUGAAUCCACUUUACCUAAUGUCCUCAAAAUACCCAUAAAUAUCCACCCCUUCCUAGAUGGCAUAAGUUCCACUUUAGAUUUUAGGUGGCUUGUGAUCCCCUUUAGUCAGCCUGUCAGAAAGAUCAUUGGCAGAAAUACUUGUCCUUGAAUUUUCUUGAACUUUUUAAAAACUUUUGUGGAUUCUGCUAAUCACUGUGUCUCUAUGUUAGACUUAAUUUUCUAGUGGCUACAUCACAUAUUUUUAACUUGAAUUUUUUUGGAAAUAGCCGAAUGUAAAUAGCAGGGAAGGAGAAGCAAGCAAAAUUAGGACUUUUCUCCAUGCAGAACUGCCCUCUUGGGCUCCUUUUGUAACAUAUAGAACUCCUUAUUAGCUAGGGGAGCCCGUGGAAGUGGUAGGUAGGAGGAGUCACUAAUAAUAGUCGCUGUUUCUGUAAUUUUGGGCAAUAACAUGUAGGAGUCCUUGACACCUGUUCAUUGAAGAUUAUCAACUCCUUUUUAGGCAUGAAUGUCUAUGUUAAUCCUUUUUUUUUUCAUUCAUUCAACAAAUAUUUAUUGAACACCUCCUAUGUGCCAGGCACUGUGCUAGGUCCUGGGAAUGCCACUGAGUAAGACAGACAAGGGCCCUACUCUCAUGGAGUUUACUUCUGAUGGAGGAGACAGAUGAUAAGUAAACAAAUAAUGUAGUUUGAGAUAGUGAUUAAGUGCUAUGGAGAAAAUUAGGGUGAUUUCGGGGUGGGGUGGGGUGGGGGUGGGGGCAACAUUAGCUAGUGGUCAGGGACGGCCUUUCUGCUGGGUGGUGGUGGAGUGGAGAGCAAAGACGAGAAGCACCAGCUGGCAGAGUAGAGGUGCUGUGGUGGGGCGGCCCUGACGUGCAUUUGGAAGAGAGGCAGCCAGGAGCUGGAGUGCAGUGAGCAGCAGGGAGGGGAGAGAGACCGAACUGCUCAGUAUCCUGAGAUUUAAAGGCCUUUUUUUUUUUUGGGCUAGAUUGAUACUAAAAACUCAUGUGGAGGGACUCAAGGAAUGUUUAGAAGACCAAAAGUCCCCAAUGACAAGAACAAAAAGCAACUAAUUUUUAACAUUGUUUCUCUUCUCAUUCCUGUUUUUUCAUUGAUUUCCCACAUGUAGUCCUUUUGCUCAGGAAGUCUUUGGGGAAAUUAAGGACCUUUGAAGCUCUGAAAUGGGUGAUCAGGUUAGUGGUGUCUGUCAACUGUCUUAAGAGGCUGGAAAAUGAACUACCCAAAAUAGUCAUUGAAAUACUGAAACAAAGCUUGAUUUUUCUCUUCAUAUUUGAAUUAAUUUCUUCUAUUUGACUGGAAGGGGUUUUUGUAUAACUAAAACCUCAAGGCAUAAAGGGGAUUUUAAAGGAGCACAUAAUUUAGUGGAUGGGCCAUGAAGCCAGAGAUAGGAUUGGGUGGGUAAGUUUGUCACUGUUGGGACAAUAGACCUCUAACCCAGACCUCUCUGUUAACAAGCCUUUGGGAAGUCACUCCUCAGACAUUUCCUCCUCCUCAGAGAGGGGUACCUUCACUAUGUGUUAAAGCCCCUUCCAGGCCUGAAUUUCUUGACGAUUUACUGUAGUGUCUUAUCACUCUUUCAUGUCACAGUAGUGUGGAGCAUUAGAGAAAAGCCUAGACUUUUAGUUGAUAGAGAGCCAGUUGAAAUAUCAUUGAUAGAAUUUUAGUUUUAGGAAAAAUUGGUUUGAUUUCUAGCUUUAUUACUAUUAGGUAUGUGAACUUGGGCAAAUCGCUUAACUUUGAGUCUAGUUUUCUCACAAAAUGAGGAUAUUAGACUAAAUGAUUUCCAAGUUUCCAGCUAGUCCUAGAGUUCUAUAUUUCUACAUAGUUGAAUUAUUUUAUCAUGCUGUUGCUGGGAAUAUGACUAACACUUUUGAAGCUACUAAUUUUAUGUCGAGCUUUAAAUUCCAUAAUUGUUAUCUUUGGAAAAUAUUAUUUGACCUACAGUAUGUCCAAAUCAAUUUAAUAAAAUCACUUUAUAACAGG